This 249-nucleotide long non-coding RNA is filed under the name Mytilus galloprovincialis (Mediterranean mussel). Lineage: Eukaryota; Metazoa; Mollusca; Bivalvia; Mytilida; Mytilidae. The record is from RNAcentral.
CAUUCUCAAUCAGUUUACCUCCUAUUAAAAUUUCCUAUACUUCUUAAUUAUUCAAAUAAAACUUCCAACAAGGGUUCCACAGUGAUCCUUAGUUCAAAUGCUUACCUUUGAUACCAAAAUAAUCAAAUAUUCUCCCUAUUGACAAAGAUAUGCAGCUAUGCGUAGGAACUAUUUUGUUUAAAAUAUGUACUACUUUCUAUCCUAUACCGGGCCUGAAUUAGUGGUUCUAUACCUUAUACAUCUUGCCCG